UACGUAGGGUGCAGGCGUUAAUCGGAAUUACUGGGCGUAAAGCGUGCGCAGGCGGUUUCUUAAGGCAGAUGUGAAAGCCCCGGGCUUAACCUGGGAACUGCGUUUGAAACUGGGAGACUUGAGUGUGGCAGAGGGGGGUGGAAUUCCACGUGUAGCAGUGAAAUGCGUAGAUAUGUGGAGGAACACCGAUGGCGAAGGCAGCCCCCUGGGUUAACACUGACGCUCAUGCACGAAAGCGUGGGGAGCAAACAGG
Molecule: ribosomal RNA, 253 nt
Filed under: uncultured bacterium
Lineage: Bacteria
Description: partial 16S ribosomal RNA
Rfam family: Bacterial small subunit ribosomal RNA
Source: RNAcentral